RNAcentral lists this long non-coding RNA (1376 nucleotides) under Medicago truncatula (barrel medic). RNAcentral's name for it is "long non-coding RNA (MTRU_LNC007978)". Lineage: Eukaryota; Viridiplantae; Streptophyta; Magnoliopsida; Fabales; Fabaceae. The record is from RNAcentral.
UUGUCUCUGUGAGCAUAACUCAGUUGGUAGAUACAAUGUUUUGAAAUAUGCAGGGAUUGUGGUUCCAACAUAGAAUUCUCCACUUAUUCAUAUGAAGGGUGGAAUUCUAACCACUAAAUUACUUAACCAAAAACCAUAUAUACAUUUUCAAUGAUACCAACAAUAUAUCAAAUAUCAUAUAAAUUUUCUUUUGAAAUAACACGAAUAAAAUAUAGCAUUCUUUAUAAGAUUUUUUUUAGGCUUAAUAGGUCAUUUGGUCCCUCAAAUAAUUUUCAGUUUUCAUUUUAGUCCUAUAAGUAAUAAAACUCAUGUUUUGGUCCCUCAAGUUCACCUCCGUAGGUCAAAUAAAUCCUUUCCGUCAACACAUGAAACUUCCGUUAGUUUUUGCCACGUGGCCAAAUCCUACGUGACUGAUGCCUUUCAUCCUCCUCCACUGUUAUGGUCACCAUGGAUGCACCUAACACUUCCCUCAAUCAUAACCCAGAACAACAACAAAUCCAGAAUAGCAACAUCAUGGAACACCAUUAACAAAUUCAAUUCAUAGAACAACAACAACCGUAAAGCAACAUCAAUUCAUAUAGAACAACAACAUCAAUUCACCAACCGUAAAGCUAAAAAAAUCAAUUCAUAGAACAACAACAUCAAAAAAUUCAUGGAUUGAAUUGAAACAACAACAACAUCAACACCGGAUUGAAUCGAAACAUGGCUAUGGCAGAAAAAAAAUUCGAAUUACAACAACAACAUCUCUGGAUCUCUUUCACCUUCUUCCAGAAACAUGGCUAUGGCAGAAAAAAAACGUGACUGAUUUCUUUAAGCUCACAUCUAGAACCCAGAAAAGGGUUUCAAGAGAGGAAGCGUAGGCACAUAACCAACUCAGAUAUGAAGGUUUCUUUCUCUGUCUUCAUUCUUCUUCUUUUUUUUGCUUUGAUUGCUGAAGAGGAAAGAUGAAAGAAUUGAAUGAUUCGAAUCUAGAAUUCGAAUUUUUUUUGCUUUGUUGUUUGGAUUCGAAUAUAAAGUUGAGAAAAGAUGUGACUAUGGUGGAAUGAAUGUUUUUAGGUGGGAUUCUCUGAAGAAGAAAUAGGAAAGAAUUGAGAUGAGGAAUAUGAUUAUGGUUGAAUGAAUGACUUUAGGUUUGAGUUGAUAAUGAUGGAGGUGAGGUUUAAUUUAUGUUGUUUAUUUUUCUGGAUUUUUUUCCUGGAUUUUUUUAUGAAUGUUGUUGAAUAAAUUGAGGGAAGAAGAUGAAGAAAUUGGAAAAAUAAAUAAAUAAGGUGUUGAUGGUUAACCGGAAGAUACAAUAGACUUGCAUGAUCCUACGAUCAUUUUUCUUAAAAAAAAGAUCAAAGGGUUAAAAUUGAAAAAAUUAAUAAGGUCUAUGG